RNAcentral lists this ribosomal RNA (253 nucleotides) under uncultured prokaryote. RNAcentral's name for it is "partial 16S ribosomal RNA". It matches the Rfam family "Bacterial small subunit ribosomal RNA", at positions 524 to 776 of the family's 1533-position model. The record is from RNAcentral.
UACGUACUGUGCGAACGUUAUUCGGAAUCACUGGGCUUAAAGGGUGUGUAGGCGGCCCGGCAAGUAGGGUGUGAAAGGCUCCGGCUCAACCGGGGCAUUGCGCUCUAAACUGCUGGGCUCGAGCAAGGCAGGGGUGUGCGGAACUUCCAGUGGAGCGGUGAAAUGUGUUGAUAUUGGAAGGAACGCCGGUGGCGAAAGCGGCACACUGGGUCUUGUCUGACGCUGAGACACGAAAGCCAGGGGAGCGAACGGG